Molecule: long non-coding RNA, 878 nt
Organism: Heterocephalus glaber (naked mole-rat)
Lineage: Eukaryota; Metazoa; Chordata; Mammalia; Rodentia; Bathyergidae
Source: Ensembl
CGGAAAUCAGCCAUGCAAGCUUCCUCCCUGACUCCACUGCAACAGCUGAGGACGGGGAGCUCGCUAACCCUCGGGAGCGCCUUCUGCUGUAGGAAGCUCCAGACCUGAGCUCAGCUUAAACCACAGCCCACCUUCUGUGGCUCCGUUAGCCCCAAUUCUGCUCACAGACGCCCCACAAACCUUACUCCCUUUCUCCUAUGUUGUCUUUUGGGUCUCUGAAGACAACUAUCGCAUCUUCUCUCCAAGAAGUCUUAAGCAUCAGGCUUGGUCAUUUCAGCCUCCCGCCCUGCUCCUGCUCCAUCCAUCACUCUGCCCUUUCCUGACAUGUAAAGGGCACCAUCUCUUCUCUUCUCAAAACUCACCCUUCCACCUGUGCCCUCGCCGCCACCUCCUCCCGUCCUCUCUGUGACCUGGGGAUGGAAAUGAACUUGGGAAUCAGUUUUCACAAAAGAAAAGGAAAGCUUUGCAGCCACGUUUAUAGUUCGGAGGCCCAGUAAUGGUGAGACCACCAACUACGACCAGAAGUCAGAUGCCGGGUCGGGAGGGAGAUCUGAACUCAGGCUUCCACCAUGAUGCACUGUCUCACCAUGGGCCCAAAGCAGUGGGCCCAGCCACGGACUGGAACCUCCCAAACUGUACUGACUGGUUCUUUGGAUGUUGAGAGAGACAGUGGGGAGCAAAGAGAGAAUCACUGCUGAUUUAAGGAGAAAAAAAUUAAUCCAAUUCAAAGGCACAAUCACCUCAGCCACCCAGAGCAGUUGGAGUCUCCCUUUCCUCUCAGAGUCUCAUCUAAGCCCCCAUGUGCCCUGAUUUUCUUCUCCACAUGCAGAGGGAAAGGAGCACUGUUCUUAGAGUCAGAAGGGAUGGGAUGAAAAGAC